UUAACUAUUAUAUAGUACUCAGACAUCACUAGAAUUCAGAGUUUGGUCCUCUGGCAGGCACAUGUAGGCAAUGCCCACAGGGUCAAGACCACGGCCUGCCAAAGCAACAAGAGUAUAUAGACACGGAUGGGGCAUACCAUGAAGGUAUCCUUAUGUUUAAUGAUCCUUCCGCAGGUUCACCUACGGAAA
This 189-nucleotide unclassified non-coding RNA is filed under the name uncultured fungus. RNAcentral describes it as "sequence contains ITS1, 5.8S rRNA gene". The record is from RNAcentral. Lineage: Eukaryota; Fungi.